UAUGUGAUCGUCUCUCGCAUAUCAAUAAGCGGAGGAAAAGAAACUAACAAGGAUUCCCCUAGUAACGGCGAGUGAAGCGGGAAGAGCUCAAAUUUGAAAUCUUAAAGGGUUUCCCUUUACGAAUUGUAGUUUAAAGAAGUGUUUUCUGUUGAGGUUUUGGUAAAAGUUCUUUGGAAUAGGACAUCAUAGAGGGUGAGAAUCCCGUAUUUGACCUUUACUUUCAACUUUGUGAUACACUUUCAAAGAGUCGGAUUGUUUGGGAAUGCAGUCCAAAAUGGGUGGUAAAUUUCAUCUAAAGCUAAAUAUUGGCGAGAGACCGAUAGCGAACAAGUACCGUGAGGGAAAGAUGAAAAGAAGCUUUGAAAAGAGAGUUAAACAGUACGUGAAAUUGUCAAAAGGGAAGCGUUUGACACCAGUGUUGUUUUUCUGAAAGAUCAAUUAAAGAACUGUUUAUGCUAAGUUGUUUAGACUUUAUCAGCUAACUGUUUAGUUUUGAGCUUUUCUUUAAUGCACUUUUCAGUUAACAAGUCAACAUCAAUUUCUUUUGCUGUAAAAAAGCUUGAGGAAGGUGGCUUGAGAUUCGUCUUAAGUGUUUAUAGCCUCUUGCCUAUGCAGUCGGAGAGAUUGAGGUCUGCAGCGUAGAUCCUUCGGGGCUAAAUGCAUUUGUGCUAAGUUAUAGCAUUUUAUAGACAACUUGUUGACUAUGAUUUGUCUUGUAGCUUACUCGCUUAUGUUAUUUUACCUACGCUUAGGAUGUUGACACACGCGCGUGCUCG
This 776-nucleotide ribosomal RNA is filed under the name uncultured Neocallimastigales. Its description in RNAcentral is "partial large subunit ribosomal RNA". It matches the Rfam family "Eukaryotic large subunit ribosomal RNA", at positions 24 to 643 of the family's 3401-position model. The record is from RNAcentral. Lineage: Eukaryota; Fungi; Neocallimastigomycota; Neocallimastigomycetes; Neocallimastigales.